GCUACGCUGUUUCAAUCAAUUCACAUGCAGACUGCUGGCUGCAGGGUGUCUAUGCAAUAUGGCAGCCGCUGUGGCCGCAGGCAGCCGGUGCACAUUGUCCUAUCGCUUACAUCGCCGUUUCUGUACUUCGUGUCCCGGAGUGAAAUAAGCCGUCUUGUUGCUUCAAGACCUCGCGAUGGAGCGCGGUCCGAAGAAAAGAAAGAGAGGACCCUACAAGACUUAUUUAAAUCCCAAGUCUCAGUUCCAGCUACCAAGGAGCACCGCACGCGCUUGCCCGCCGACCGGUGCCAGCCCUAGCAUGCCUUCUUCGAGUGAUGAGGCAGACAGCGACA
Rhipicephalus microplus (southern cattle tick) is the source of this 332-nucleotide long non-coding RNA. Lineage: Eukaryota; Metazoa; Arthropoda; Arachnida; Ixodida; Ixodidae. The record is from RefSeq and is a predicted model, not a curated record.